RNAcentral lists this ribosomal RNA (473 nucleotides) under Vexillum albofulvum. RNAcentral describes it as "partial 12S ribosomal RNA". The record is from RNAcentral. Lineage: Eukaryota; Metazoa; Mollusca; Gastropoda; Neogastropoda; Costellariidae.
AAAGGCAGUUAGGUUAAAUUAUUAAAUUAGUUUGUUUAUGGUUGAAUAAGAUAGGUAAAAUUUAACUAUCAACUGAAAAAUUUACACUAGCUAAAUCUAUGAAUCUGCAAAACCCUUGAGGGAAACUGGGAUUAGAUACCCCAUUAUUCUUGGAAAUAAAAAGAAAAUCUACCAGAGUACUACGAAUAAAAAGUUUAAAACUCAAAGAGCUUGGCGGUGCUUUAGACUUUUCAGGGGAACCUGUCUUAUAAUCGACAAUCCACGUUACACCUGACCCUUUCUUGCAUACAAUUUGUAUACCGUCGUCGUCAGGUAACUUUUAAAAAUUUUAGUAGUUAGCAAGAGAGUUUGCCCAUGAGCUUAAACGUCAGAUCAAGGUGCAGUUAAUGAAAGGGGCAAGAUGGGUUACAAUUAUACAAUAAUAACACGAAAAACUAGUUGAAAGACUACUUUAAAGGAGGACUGAAAGUAAG